This 3533-nucleotide long non-coding RNA is filed under the name Podarcis lilfordi (Lilford's wall lizard). Lineage: Eukaryota; Metazoa; Chordata; Lepidosauria; Squamata; Lacertidae. The record is from RNAcentral.
CUUAACAACUGUGUACUUCUAAACUAUGAAAUUGUAGUAGCAAAAAAAAAGUUAUUCAUGUAUCAACACUUGGGGCAUGUGAAAUAUCCCAGGUUCAGUUCUUGGAUUUUCUAGGUAGGUCUUCUGUCUGAAACCCAGGUGGACCAAUGCAGUAGUAGACUAGACAGACGAGGCAGUUUGCUAUAUUCCUGCUGUUGAAUGUUCCUGUUAAACCUUUGAACAAAUGGUUAUUCGUGGUUGUUAAAAAAAAUGGCUUGAACUACACAGAGUCCAUCUUUACUGCAAAAACUAUUAAAUUGUGUAGUUCUAAGCUGGGCAUUUUUAGUGCUGCCAGGUGAAGUCAGGAAAUGCUCUAUUUACUUUCUAUUGACUAGCUGCAUUCAGGCAAGACUGCCAGUGCGUUGACAUGGAAAGCAACAGAGACAGAACCAUUUCAAACCACUGACAUUAUACUGCUUUAUUUGCAAAGUGAAUUGCUCCUGAAUGCACCAGUUACUUUUUUAUGGAGUAUUUGCGUGUUGACAAAGCUUUAAAAGAAAAGGGAAUAAUGUAAUUCAGGCUAUCUUAAUAAAGCUGUCAUUUAAAAAAAAAUCUAUUUCACUUUGUUUUCUUUCACUUGUUUGUUUAGAAAAAACGGAACAAUUUCUAAGGUCAAUAAUAUACAUUAAAGAAAUAAAAGCACUUAGCAAUUUGCAAUUUCAUCUGUAUGUGUUUCUGAGGCAUUGUGAAAAGAAAAUUGUGUGUGUGUGAAAGAGAUUUUGUUUCUUUUGGAGAAUGUUUUCAUUUCUUGAAACAACAUCACCAUUCAAUCAGAGUAUUGAUUUUAAACUCAUUAUGUUAGGUAGCUAACAUUAAGGGAAUAUGCAUUGGAAGUUAAGUGACAUAUAAAGACAUUGUCAUGCAAAUUACUGUUUCCAUGUAAAAUGACUGGUAAUUAGAAAGCUCACACUCACUGAAGCUUAGGCGAUAUCAUGAUUCAAACUACAGGAACCUGUGACUCAUUAUUAUUGCAAUUAUUUUUGGUAGAAUAUAAUGCCUGAUUCAACAAUAUGAUGUUGUCUUGAGUACUUUAGACAUCAAUGAAACCUCUUCCAUUAACCUUCCUUCUAUAUUGUCCCCCUCCUUCAUGAUAAUAUGGAUGUGUUUUGAAUCCUAAAAGUAUAAUGUCAAUGCAUUAAUAUAUAAAAUAAUAGUUACAGAUAAGGCUGGAGCUGUGCAGUCAAUUAAAAUACUUCAAUGAGAACAGACAAUGCUUGUUGGGGUAGGGAAAAUACUUUAUUGCACUUCUAAAAGGUUGCACACUCCAUCACAUUCAUUCUGCAGACAGUGUAUAGAAUGAAUUCUUCCCAUAUACCAUCCUCCUCAUCAUAAUCAUGUUCCCCACCCACCACCAGCCAAACAACUUCAAAGGGGAGAACAGGACACUGUUCCUUUUAGAGCAUGUCAGCAAUAAAGUUCUUCACCUUACAAAAAUAUGAUACCGCGCAUGUUUAUAGGAGAUGGCUAGCAAGUUCUAGGACCAAAAUAAGAAAUCCACUGAAAUUGUAGAAAGAGAUGUAACACAUAAACAUAGUUAAUCUGAUGUAUUUACCCCAUUCCAUAAUAGUUUACAAUGAUAAUAGCAUCAGAGGUAGAAAAAAGGAAAAUGUCCCUGGGAAGUCAGUACGCAUCUUUCAAUAUGUAUCACAGAGGUGGCGUUAGAGCAUGACUCCUAGACUUUAAUACGCUUAGAUAGGACGUUAAAUGGUCCCUUUGAACUCCUGAGAAAUUAUGUAAUUAUCUGAAAUAUGUAUCUGUUCUAUUUUAUAGUUUUUCCCCACCCCCUGCUUGUGCCAUUCUCUUACUUCAUACUGGAAGAAAGGGGGAGAGUCCUCACUGGCUGACUGGUUAUCUGGCUGUGGAAUUCUCUACUGAAAAGAGCGCGGCCCUUCUGUUAACACAAUACUUUUAUCCAGUAAUCACAGCCUGCAGGAGACAAAAUAACAAUUCAUCUGGAAAAUGAGAUUAACUCAUUUAAGUUAGGCAGUGAUCACAGAGAGAAACCCAUUGGUGUUAUCUGCUUGAACGAAAGCAUACAGGUUUGAGGGCCAUUCCGGUUCAGGGGGUCUGUGUUGUAGGCCCAGCUUGUUGAAAGUAAUUGGGUCCUGUCAGAGCAUGUCUUUGUGAGAUAUGGAUAUUACAAUGGAAUUCUAUUAAUCUCUGACAAAUCCCCUCUCAUCUGAUAGAGGCUGUUUGUCCCGUUUCUUCAACCACAACACCUUCCAAGCCAUCUUUGUACAUGUACUGCGAAGUGUAGGUGUGUGGGUAGGUGUCAUUAAGCGUGUAUGUUUAUAUCCCAGCUGAAAAUCACUACAUCACCUUUUUAACAUUUUCUCUUUGGAAAUUGUAUGAGCACAUACAAUUUCAUUUUGAUUGCUCUUAGUUGAAGUGAUUUGUUGUGUAUUUAAAGUGUUUUGUUUUACAAAACCCAUGAACAUGAAUUCUCCUUUCCCAGUACAUUGCAGUAAAUAUUUACACAGACAAAUUAAGUAAAAAUGAACAAGUAUAAUUUAAUACACUAAAGGGUUUGUUUUUUUUUCUUUCUCUCCCCUCCAGGGGGUUAUGGACCACAUAAUUUUGUAUCUAUAUCCCAGCUUACAUGCUCUAGAUAAGAUAUAUAGUUGUGACUAUUUCUCUGAUAUAAGAUAACAUGUAACUAUUGAAAGAACAAACAUUUUCAGCAUUGAUCCUUUGUGGACUUGUGCAAGCAGAACCUUGAUGGAGUUAAUAGAUUUUGCAGAGAGAUGAAGGGAAGCUUAGGAUCCUGGGGUUUCUGGUGCAGCUACCGAAUGCAAAAGCAAGCAAGCAAACAAAAGGCAUGUGUAGUGUGUCAGAUACAAAGAGAGCACUUAUGUAGAAAUGUAUGUGACAUCCUUUACUAUUUAACAAAAAAUCAUCUAUCCUGUUGAUGCCCACUGCUGAGUGUACAUUAAAGAAACUUCAGCAAUCUGUAUUUGUAAAAUAUGCAUCUAGGCUAUGUAUACAUUACUGCAUUGAAAUGAAGCGAGGUUUCUCCCUCCUCAUGCACAUUUCAAGUCACCUUUUCAUUGAGGCUUAAUCCCAGGUAAGUGUGUAUAGGAUUGUAGCCUAAGGCUACACACACAGUAUGCACAUUUGCUUGGGAACAAGGCCUACUGAACAGAGUGAGACUUACCUCUGAGAAGAACUGCUGCAGGUCAGAGUGUACAGUACUUGGCUACAUAGGCAAAAGCCUGACCUGAUAUAAGGCAACUUUCUGUGUUGCUAUACCUUCUUGCAAUAAUAUGCCAAUCAGUCCCAGACUUGGGGAAGCCCUUGGGAAGAUGCUGUCAAUGAUCUCCCAUUCCUGAGCACAUUCAAACACACACCCCCCGGGCACUUCUCACUUGCUUCUUUCCCUCUCUCUGGACCACUUCCUAGAUGGAGAGAAGAAGAUGUAUGGAUGACCCUUGUAUUCUCCACAGUUGUAUUCUCCAAUUUCAAGGUUUGGUAGCGAGUCUGGUGUGAGAACUUCC